This 552-nucleotide ribosomal RNA is filed under the name Triticum aestivum (bread wheat). Its description in RNAcentral is "partial small subunit ribosomal RNA". The record is from RNAcentral. Lineage: Eukaryota; Viridiplantae; Streptophyta; Magnoliopsida; Poales; Poaceae.
AUGCUUCGCCCCAGCGGCGCGCCGAGGGGCCGGCGACCUCAAGCCCUCCAAGCUCACCCACCACUGCACCGACGACGACUCAUUCGCAGACGCGCAGAGGAAGGUGGCGCUGGACGUGGGGAGCGGCUGCGCGCACAGCUUCACCUUCAAGGAUCUGCUGGUGGCCACCGGCUACUUCAACGAGGCCAAUUUCAUCGGCGAGGGCGGCUUCGGCAAGGUGUACAAGGGCAAGAUCUCAAAGACCAACUCGCAGGGCGCUUCCGAUGCGCAGAUGGUGGCGGUGAAGCAGUUGGCCCGGGAGAGUGUGCAGGGAAGAAGGAGUUCCUGGUGGAGGUGCUGAUGCUCACGGUGCUCAGCCACCCCAACCUCGCCAUCCUCGUCGGCUUCUGCGUGCAGGGGGGUGAGUGGCUGCUGGUCUACGAGUACAUGCCCUUCGGCAGCCUGGAGAGCCACCUCUUUGGUAAUUCUUCUUCUCAGAAUUCUUCAGACUUGCUCUCUGUUUUUGGUUCAGUUCAUCUCUGCAAUGCAGUUAAUAUCCAUGUUGAUAUGUAA